Molecule: ribosomal RNA, 495 nt
Filed under: uncultured bacterium
Lineage: Bacteria
Description: bacterial SSU rRNA
Rfam family: Bacterial small subunit ribosomal RNA
Source: RNAcentral
AAAGGAAUUGACGGGGGCCCGCACAAGCGGUGGAGCAUGUGGUUUAAUUCGAUGCAACGCGGAGAACCUUACCAGGUCUUGACAUCUGUGGAACCACUACGAAAGUAGAGGGUGCCUUCGGGAGCCACAAGACAGGUGGUGCAUGGUUGUCGUCAGCUCGUGUCGUGAGAUGUUGGGUUAAGUCCCGCAACGAGCGCAACCCUUGCUAUUAGUUGCUAACAGAUAAUGCUGAGCACUCUAAUGGGACUGCCUGUGACAAGCAGGAGGAAGGUGGGGAUGACGUCAAAUCAUCAUGCCCUUUAUGACCUGGGCUACACACGUGCUACAAUGGAUGGUACAAAGAGGAGCAAAACCGCGAGGUCAAGCGAAUCUCAUAAAGCCAUUCUCAGUUCGGAUUGGAGUCUGCAACUCGACUCCAUGAAGUCGGAAUCGCUAGUAAUCGUGAAUCAGAAUGUCACGGUGAAUGCGUUCCCGGGCCUUGUACACACCGCCCGU